ACUACACAAACACACUGCAUUAUAUACACACACUACACAAACACACUGUGUAUAUAAUGCAGUGUGUUUGUGUAGU
This 76-nucleotide microRNA precursor is filed under the name Pelobates cultripes (western spadefoot toad). Lineage: Eukaryota; Metazoa; Chordata; Amphibia; Anura; Pelobatidae. The record is from RNAcentral.